Molecule: ribosomal RNA, 253 nt
Filed under: uncultured bacterium
Lineage: Bacteria
Description: partial 16S ribosomal RNA
Rfam family: Bacterial small subunit ribosomal RNA
Source: RNAcentral
UACGUAGGGUGCAAGCGUUGUCCGGAAUUAUUGGGCGUAAAGAGCUCGUAGGCGGUCUGUCGCGUCUGCUGUGAAAAUCCAGGGCUCAACCCUGGACCUGCAGUGGGUACGGGCAGACUAGAGUGCGGUAGGGGAGAUCGGAAUUCCUGGUGUAGCGGUGGAAUGCGCAGAUAUCAGGAGGAACACCGGUGGCGAAGGCGGGUCUCUGGGCAGUAACUGACGCUGAGGAGCGAAAGCGUGGGGAGCGAACAGG